UUCGUAUAACUUCAAACUUCGAAGUUCAAACACUUGACAUUUGUGGGAAUUAAGGGUAAACCAAUCAAGAACAGUGUUUGGUUAAACCGUUGAGAUUAAACCAAGUUUUAGAUUGUUCUUUUUAGGGCGGCUAAAAAAAUAAAAAAAAUCUAAAAUAGUUUAAAAAGUAUUUAGAAUUAACCAAGCGCUCGUAGCUUGGUGGUAAAUGAGGUACAGCUGUACUGUCCGCCACCCGGGUUCGAGUCUUGGCCACAACGGAUUUAACAUCCCUUCCAUUGGGGCACUGGACUCCUUUCGGAGGGAUAGUUGAGAAUGUGGCUGCCCAGAUACCAGAGUUAUAAAAAAAAAAAUAUUUAGAAUUUAAGAAAAAAAAUUGGAAAAUAAACUUUCGUAAUUUAUAAUCGAAUGAAUCAAUAUUACGAAGAGAAAUGAAUUAUUAGAUGCAUGAUCAAACAAACAUUUACCUUUUCCCGA
RNAcentral lists this long non-coding RNA (474 nucleotides) under Brassica rapa (field mustard). RNAcentral describes it as "long non-coding RNA (BRAP_LNC007937)". Lineage: Eukaryota; Viridiplantae; Streptophyta; Magnoliopsida; Brassicales; Brassicaceae. The record is from RNAcentral.